ACACUUCUGAGGAGUCCCACACUAGGACGAAACAGCUGUCCAGUGC
RNAcentral lists this non-coding RNA (46 nucleotides) under Schistosoma curassoni. The record is from RNAcentral. Lineage: Eukaryota; Metazoa; Platyhelminthes; Trematoda; Strigeidida; Schistosomatidae.